GACGAACGCUGGCGGCGUGCUUAACACAUGCAAGUCGAGCGGUAAGGCCCUUCGGGUACGACGAGCGGCGAACGGUGAGUAACACGUGGGUGACCUGCCUUUAGCUCUGGGAUAAGCCUGGGAAACUGGGUCUAAUACCGGAUAUGACCUCAUGACGCAUGUUGUGGGGUGGAAAGCCUUGUGCGGCUAGAGAUGGGCCCGCGGCCUAUCAGCUUGUUGGUGGGGUGAUGGCCACCAAGGCGACGACGGGUAGCCGGCC
Molecule: ribosomal RNA, 259 nt
Filed under: uncultured bacterium
Lineage: Bacteria
Description: partial 16S ribosomal RNA
Rfam family: Bacterial small subunit ribosomal RNA
Source: RNAcentral